UCAGGGUUUGUUUUUUUAAUAAUAACAACUAAUGUGUAUAUAUAAAACACUUUAAGAGUUACAAGCACUUCCCAGAUGUUUUCUCCGUCUAUCCUCAACAGCUCUGGGAGGCAGAUAGUGUGAUUUUCCUGAUUUUGCACUUUGGAAAUGAGGCUGCAGGAGGCCACUCGCCAGGGUCCUGCCGCCACUAGGUGUCUGAGGCAGGAUUUGAACGCAGGCCCCCUUGACUUUCCUCUGUGCCACCUUCUUGAUGUGCCUUUGGGGGUGGGGGAGGGUCAACUCCCCAAACCUCUGCGGACAGAUUUCCGGCUGGCCCUGUCGCCCUGCCUUGUCUUCAGGAAUCCACUUCUUCCUUGCUUCAGUUCCAUGCGGUUUGCUUCCGCAGGGCUGGUGAGGGCUUCCUCCGCCUCGGUGUCCAGCCUGCGUCGGAAUCACAGACUUAUCAAGCUCCCUGAUCCCUGCCACGCCUUCUCUCUUAUGAUACAAGAAUGGCUGCUCUGGCAGAAGAGCCAAUGACUGGUCCAGGGUCCCGCAGCCAGGAAAGGUAUGAGGCCGGAUUGGAACUCACCACCCAGCGGCCUCCAAGUAACGCUGUUUAGAGAAAGGGCAGGAGUUAGGCUGGCCGACUCCAUCGUCAUGGCAUCCGGAGAUGCUUCUAGAAUGUCUCAGCUCAGGAGUCCCCAGCCCAGAGAAUGCAGACGCCACCAGGGAGGAGCCCGGCAGCCUCUCCUCCCCCAGCACCCCUCCCCCAGCCGGCCGGCCUGCCCCGGGCCUCGCCAGGACCCUCCUCUGGACGUCCUGCUGAAGGGCCUGUGCGGACCGGGCUCUCCCAGCUCCCCCCUUUCCAGCCCCGGGCCGGCAGACCCUGCUGGAAGCCGCUCUCUUGUUGGUGGAUCAGGUGGGGGCCCAGGGAGCGGCAGAUGGACCCAGAUGGACACGGCUGGGUUUGUGCCCAGGAGCCGCCCAGCCCUGAAGCUGCGCCUGCGCCUGCGCCUGGCUCUGACCCGGCCUCUUCCUGAAUUAUGGUCUAAAAAGACCCCUGAGAAGGCUCUUUGGAUAGCCUGUCUAGAGGCGCUGGCCUGGUUGUCAGGAAGGUCUGAGUUCGAGUCCUGCCUCAGGCAACCUUCCCCACCCUCUCCAGUCUCCUAA
This 1149-nucleotide long non-coding RNA is filed under the name Monodelphis domestica (gray short-tailed opossum). RNAcentral describes it as "lncRNA (ENSMODG00000049912.1)". Lineage: Eukaryota; Metazoa; Chordata; Mammalia; Didelphimorphia; Didelphidae. The record is from RNAcentral.